This is a long non-coding RNA of Siniperca chuatsi (mandarin fish), 3036 nucleotides long. RefSeq lists it as uncharacterized. The record is from RefSeq and is a predicted model, not a curated record. Lineage: Eukaryota; Metazoa; Chordata; Actinopteri; Centrarchiformes; Sinipercidae. The transcript is spliced from 2 exons.
GAAAAGAUGCAGAGAGGAUACAGUAAGAGGCUGCAGAUUUGUCUUAGUACUUAAAACAUAAUUACUGCUCACCAGACUUUGUUUUGGCUUAAUUUUUAAAUGUUCUUAUAAUGUCCGUCAGGAGGGGAGUAACAAGCUCUGCGUUUAGUGUGCAGAAAUCACUGCAUAAAGAAGAUCAGCAACAGUGAAAGAGCCGGAAAAGAUCAGUAUGCAGACAGACAGUGUAAGUCCUCAGCAGUCCUGCAUCUGUUUCUGGCAACAGAUCUGAUGUGAUUUGAUCCAAGUUCAGUAAUCAACUGGGUAAAAUAUAGUGGAGAUUUUUUUUUUUCUGUUGAAAGGUUGGCAUUGCUGAGUGCCAUGCUGUGUUAGUGAGUUUUGCUCCAUGUUGGACUGAGGUGAAUUUCCAUCUCCUCACAUCAGUGACAUGGCAGCAGAGAAGACAAGUUAAUUUCCUUACUGACAUCAGACUUAAUGUAGAACCAAAACAUAUCAUCAGUAAAUAAGGAUACAGGAUACAGGACAUUAUAUUUGUUUUUGUGAAUAGUACAUUUCAUUGCAUCACAUCUGAUGCUUGAAUUUAGCUUGAAUUUUUUCAUUGGCUUUCAGUAGAAAGAUUGCUUGCACACUUUACUGAAAUAUUGAAAAUUAUUAAAGAAUCUGUUUUAUUUUUUAUUCUAUCUGCAUCAUCUUUUAACUCAAGUUUUAAACUUACUCUUACUGUAAGGCAUUUUCUAAUCUUUGAUUUCUGUUUAUUUGUUUCUUUAUUCAUGUUGUGCUAUUGUUGCUGUCUAGCUGCCUGGUCAAUUGUUUUUUUUUGUUUUUUUUUCAAUAUUUUUUAUAUUUUGUUACAUCCUUGUGGUUGGGACUUUGUGGUUACUCUAUUCUAUUUAGUUUCAUUAUUUUUGUUUAUCAGUUCUGAAGAAAUCUGUCUGGCUUUUUCGCUCAAUCUUGCAAGUUUGUAACUUUAUUUUGAAAAUGUUACGUAAACAAUGGUAUCUGUAUUUGAAGAAUGACAGUACAGCAUCAAAAUGUACUUGACUGUACACAAAUAAAGGAAGCAAAGCAAUAAAGGCACAAAAAAUGCAUGUGAAGAGUUUGUUUUCCACAACAUACAUAUAGCAAAUAAAAUACUUUGUUUUUUAAUAAUAGUAUUUUUUUUUUACAGCAAAUUGUUUUUACAAUGAAUUUAUAUGCAUGUUUCACAUUCUACCAAGUUUUGGCUGAAAACUGCAAGCAUAUGGACAUUUGUUAUAACUGAGGCCCAUUACAUGUGCAGCCAAGCAGCUGUUUAAUAUUCAAAUCUAGGUUUCCAGAAGAGGUUACACAGUACAUUUAAAAAAAAAAAAAAAAACUCAUCCCAGAUGUAUGCAGAGGAAUUUGCUAAUUGAGAGGCCAGGGCCAGCUCAGAGUGGGCUUCACAUCGACUCAAAGUGUGAAUAAAGACAUCAAUUAACUUACUAAUACAGUAUUCAGUCUCAAUUAUUUUUCAUUGGAAACCAACUCAAGUCAAAUGCCUUUUAAUAUUCAAUUAGACAUUAAGUUGAAAAUGAUCUAAACCCAGGCAUGGUGGAGACACACUGAGGGAGUUACUGUGCUGUUGAUGACCAACCGAGUAGUGAAGGCAAAGUUCAGCCAGGAGUCAGCGAAAAAGUCAUCUGACAAACUAACUGACACUGCAAUUCACACAGUUUGUCAAGACACACACCCAAACAACACUUGCGCGCGCGCACGCACACACACACACACACACACACACACACACACACACACACACACACACACACACAGAUUUAGGGAAUAAAAGGUGGAAUGGAGUUCUUCAAAAGGCAGGCUUCUGUCAGGCAGCGAUAAGCGAGUGGAGCCCCUCUGUGUUAGAGGGGGAACAGACAGGAGCAAUCGCUGACAGAUGAGAGCGAUGGAGAGCGCUUUGAAGAGCAGUUAGCAAAAGAAAGGAGGGGACAAAAAAAGAAGAGAAACAGAAACAAAAGAAACAAAUGAAAUUAUGGAGGCGUAUACAGGACUAUAUUCAGCGGCUCCGACCAGGACUAUGACUCCGACAACGAAGACAUUGCGGGUUCAGGUGGGGACAGGAGGGGCGUCAAGCAGCAGAGGAGCGAGAGAGAGGUCGGGUGUCAGCCCGUGCCCACCUGUAAAUCACCUCCGUACUGUAUUCCAUGUCAGCCCUGAAAACAUCCUCCUCUAGGAGGUCCAAAGCUCAGAGUCAGCUAAUAGGACUGCUAACUAGUUAAGCAGCAGUUUGGGGUUACUUAGCAACAAGUAAAGCUAUCUGUCCAUCAGGAAACUCCGUAAAUCACCGAGAGUUGAGGCAGAGCAGCCGGAGGACAUCAGAGGGAAAACCAGAAAAUUUUUUCUCCAUAAAAUAUGAUCUCUGUGAUGUUGCAAAUGCCUGGAGCUGCAUUUGAAUAUUGUCCACUGUACAGCAGGUUACAACUUUAUUGUAUUAUUGUAUUCAAUUAAACGUCAAACAGCUUUUCCAUUUUUAUUUAAAUAUAGUCAUAGAAUGCCUAUACAAGAAAAUUAAUGCGAAAAUGAAAAUGAGAAUUGGAUUAUUGCAUUUUCAUUUUUACUCAAAUAAAACAUACAAACGUGGAAAAUUAUAGUGCUAUUGUGGAAUUACAUUUUCAUUUUCAAGUUUACAUUAUCAAGAAACAUUUUGAUGGACAUCACUGUAAAGACUGAAAGCUAUAUACACAGACAGGAUUAGCCUAAUUAAAAACACUUAUUAGAGGGAAAGGGUUGUGCAUGCACAACAGAGAUAUACUGUAUAUUCAUAUAUAACAAAAUAAAGCCAGGGAACACAAUAUGUCACACACUAAAACAAACCUCUGUUUGAGUCUUUUAUACAUACAGCAACACAAGCCAGAGUACAACCCUCUCCACAGCUCUCAGUGGUAUCUCUGACACCUCAGCUCUCUGUGAUAAACUGUCUCAGAGUGUCACAUAGGUACAUGUUACACUCACAAGCAUGCCAUCUCCACUAAGCUUCACAAACACACACACACACACACACACACA